This 207-nucleotide ribosomal RNA is filed under the name uncultured bacterium. Its description in RNAcentral is "partial 16S ribosomal RNA". It matches the Rfam family "Bacterial small subunit ribosomal RNA", at positions 568 to 774 of the family's 1533-position model. The record is from RNAcentral.
AGCGCAGACGGUUGAUUAAGUCUGAUGUGAAAGCCCGGAGCUCAACUCCGGAAUGGCAUUGGAAACUGGUUAACUUGAGUGCAGUAGAGGUAAGUGGAACUCCAUGUGUAGCAGUGGAAUGCGUAGAUAUAUGGAAGAACACCAGUGGCGAAGGCGGCUUACUGGACUGUAACUGACGUUGAGGCUCGAAAGUGUGGGUAGCAAACA